This 301-nucleotide ribosomal RNA is filed under the name uncultured bacterium. RNAcentral describes it as "partial 16S ribosomal RNA". It matches the Rfam family "Bacterial small subunit ribosomal RNA", at positions 509 to 807 of the family's 1533-position model. The record is from RNAcentral.
CAGUCGCCGCGGGAAUACGUAGGUGGCAAGCGUUGUCCGGAAUUAUUGGGCGUAAAGGGCUCGCAGGCGGUUUCUUAAGUCUGAUGUGAAAGCCCCCGGCUCAACCGGGGAGGGUCAUUGGAAACUGGGAAACUUGAGUGCAGAAGAGGAGAGUGGAAUUCCACGUGUAGCGGUGAAAAGCGUAGAGAUGUGGAGGAACACCAGUGGCGAAGGCGACUCUCUGGUCUGUAACUGACGCUGAGGAGCGAAAGCGUGGGGAGCGAACAGGAUUAGAUACCCCGGUAGUCCCUGUCUCUUAUAC